CAAUGCUCCCGCCGGCGACCGGCGCACGGGUGAGUAACACGUAUGCAACCUGGCCCGCGGACGGGGACAACCCGGGGAAACCCGGACUAAUACCCGGCGGGGCCUGAGGGGGCAUCCCCUCCCGGCUGAAGGAGGCGACUCCGCCGCGGGAUGGGCAUGCGGCGCAUUAGCUUGUUGGCGGGGCAACGGCCCACCAAGGCGACGAUGCGUAGGGGUUCUGAGAGGAAGGUCCCCCACAUUGGAACUGAGACACGGUCCAAACUCCUACGGAAGGCAGCAG
Molecule: ribosomal RNA, 280 nt
Filed under: uncultured bacterium
Lineage: Bacteria
Description: partial 16S ribosomal RNA
Rfam family: Bacterial small subunit ribosomal RNA
Source: RNAcentral